Molecule: unclassified non-coding RNA, 242 nt
Filed under: Aster yellows phytoplasma
Lineage: Bacteria; Bacillati; Mycoplasmatota; Mollicutes; Acholeplasmatales; Acholeplasmataceae
Description: 16S-23S ribosomal RNA intergenic spacer
Rfam family: tRNA (bases 103-176)
Source: RNAcentral
AGGAAACAAUUAUCAUCUUCAGUUUUGAGAGACUUAAGAAAGUUUUUCAUUGUCACUUGCUUGCAAAUUGUAUUUGCAACAUUUUAAUCUUUUUAAGAUUAAGGGCCUAUAGCUCAGUUGGUUAGAGCACACGCCUGAUAAGCGUGAGGUCGGUGGUUCAAGUCCAUUUAGGCCCACCAUAACCACAAAUAGGCAAAAUCUUAAAAAAGCUCUUUGAAAAGUAGAUAAACGAAGGUUAAAAA